RNAcentral lists this ribosomal RNA (429 nucleotides) under uncultured bacterium. RNAcentral's name for it is "bacterial SSU rRNA". It matches the Rfam family "Bacterial small subunit ribosomal RNA", at positions 355 to 775 of the family's 1533-position model. The record is from RNAcentral.
UGAGGAAUCUUGCGCAAUGGGGGAAACCCUGACGCAGCAACGCCGCGUGAGUGAGGAAGGUUUUCGGAUCGUAAAGCUCUGUCAGGUGGAAAGAAAUAUUUGUAGGUUAAUAGCCUGCAUACUUGACGGUACCACCAAAGGAAGCACCGGCUAACUCCGUGCCAGCAGCCGCGGUAAUACGGGGGGUGCAAGCGUUGUUCGGAAUUAUUGGGCGUAAAGAGCGUGUAGGCGGCUUGGUAAGUCAGAUGUGAAAGCCCUGGGCUUAACCCAGGAAGUGCAUUUGAUACUGUCAGGCUAGAGUAGGGGAGAGGAAAGCGGAAUUCCUGGUGUAGAGGUGAAAUUCGUAGAUAUCAGGAGGAACACCGGUGGCGAAGGCGGCUUUCUGGCCCUAUACUGACGCUGAGACGCGAGAGCGUGGGUAGCAAACAG